Small nuclear RNA from Peromyscus californicus insignis, 103 nucleotides. The record is from RefSeq and is a predicted model, not a curated record. NCBI's taxonomy places the organism in Eukaryota, Metazoa, Chordata, Mammalia, Rodentia, Cricetidae.
UUGCUUCAGUAGCACAUAUACUAAAAUUGGAAAGAUACAGAGAAGAUUAGCACAGCUCCUUCACAAGGAUGAGACACAAAUUCAUGAGAAGUCCAUGUUAAAA